AUACGUAGGUGGCGAGCGUUGUCCGGAAUUACUGGGCGUAAAGGAUGCGUAGGCGGAUAUUUAAGUCAGAUGUGAAACCCCCAGGCUUAACUUGGGGACUGCAUUUGAAACUGGAUAUCUAGAGUGCAGGAGAGGUAAGUGGAAUUCCUAGUGUAGCGGUGAAAUGCGUAGAGAUUAGGAAGAACACCAGUGGCGAAGGCGGCUUACUGGACUGUAACUGACGCUGAGGCAUGAAAGCGUGGGUAGCAAACAGGAUUAGAUACCCUGGUAGUCCACGCUGUAAACGAUGAAUACUAGGUGUGGGAGGUAUCGACUCCUUCCGUGCCGCCGCUAACGCAAUAAGUAAUCCACCUGGGGAGUACGACCGCAAGGUUGAA
RNAcentral lists this ribosomal RNA (377 nucleotides) under uncultured bacterium. RNAcentral describes it as "bacterial SSU rRNA". It matches the Rfam family "Bacterial small subunit ribosomal RNA", at positions 523 to 898 of the family's 1533-position model. The record is from RNAcentral.